GAUGAACGCUGGCGGCGUGCCUAAUACAUGCAAGUCGAGCGAACAGACGAGGAGCUUGCUCCUUUGACGUUAGCGGCGGACGGGUGAGUAACACGUGGAUAACCUACCUAUAAGACUGGGAUAACUUCGGGAAACCGGAGCUAAUACCGGAUAACAUGUUGAACCGCAUGGUUCAACAGUGAAAGACGGUCUUGCUGUCACUUAUAGAUGGAUCCGCGCCGCAUUAGCUAGUUGGUAAGGUACCGGCUUACCAAGGCAACGAUGCGUAGCCGACCUGAGAGGGUGAUCGGCCACACUGGAACUGAGACACGGUCCAGACUCCUACGGGAGGCAGCAGUAGGGAAUCUUCCGCAAAGGGCGAAAGCCUGACGGAGCAACGCCGCGUGAGUGAAGAAGGUCUUCGGAUCGUAAAACUCUGUUAUUAGGGAAGAACAAAUGUGUAAGUAACUAUGCACGUCUUGACGGUACCUAAUCAGAAAGCCACGGCUAACUACGUG
RNAcentral lists this ribosomal RNA (497 nucleotides) under uncultured bacterium. RNAcentral describes it as "partial 16S ribosomal RNA". It matches the Rfam family "Bacterial small subunit ribosomal RNA", at positions 28 to 507 of the family's 1533-position model. The record is from RNAcentral.